This 486-nucleotide ribosomal RNA is filed under the name uncultured bacterium. Its description in RNAcentral is "partial 16S ribosomal RNA". It matches the Rfam family "Bacterial small subunit ribosomal RNA", at positions 30 to 507 of the family's 1533-position model. The record is from RNAcentral.
AUUGAACGCUGGCGGCAUGCCUUACACAUGCAAGUCGAACGGCAGCACGGGUGCUUGCACCUGGUGGCGAGUGGCGAACGGGUGAGUAAUACAUCGGAACAUGUCCUGUAGUGGGGGAUAGCCCGGCGAAAGCCGGAUUAAUACCGCAUACGAUCUACGGAUGAAAGCGGGGGACCUUCGGGCCUCGCGCUAUAGGGUUGGCCGAUGGCUGAUUAGCUAGUUGGUGGGGUAAAGGCCUACCAAGGCGACGAUCAGUAGCUGGUCUGAGAGGACGACCAGCCACACUGGGACUGAGACACGGCCCAGACUCCUACGGGAGGCAGCAGUGGGGAAUUUUGGACAAUGGGCGAAAGCCUGAUCCAGCAAUGCCGCGUGUGUGAAGAAGGCCUUCGGGUUGCAAAGCACUUUUGUCCGGAAAGAAAUCCUUGGCUCUAAUACAGUCGGGGGAUGACGGUACCGGAAGAAUAAGCACCGGCUAACUACGUG